RNAcentral lists this ribosomal RNA (253 nucleotides) under uncultured bacterium. Its description in RNAcentral is "partial 16S ribosomal RNA". It matches the Rfam family "Bacterial small subunit ribosomal RNA", at positions 524 to 776 of the family's 1533-position model. The record is from RNAcentral.
GACGAAGGAUGCAAGCGUUAUCCGGAUUCAUUGGGCUUAAAGGGCGCGUAGGCGGCCUUGUAAGUCAGUGGUGAAAUCUCGCAGCUUAACUGCGAAACUGCCAUUGAUACUGCAGGGCUUGAGUACAGAUGCUGUGGGCGGAAUAUGACAUGUAGUGGUGAAAUACAUAGAGAUGUCAUAGAACACCGAUUGCGAAGGCAGCUCACAAAACUGUAACUGACGCUGAGGCUCGAAAGUGUGGGGAUCAAACAGG